RNAcentral lists this ribosomal RNA (239 nucleotides) under uncultured bacterium. Its description in RNAcentral is "partial 16S ribosomal RNA". It matches the Rfam family "Bacterial small subunit ribosomal RNA", at positions 538 to 776 of the family's 1533-position model. The record is from RNAcentral.
GCGUUGUUCGGAUUUACUGGGCGUAAAGGGCGCGCAGGCGGUCAUUUUUGUCGAGUGUGAAAGCCCCGGGCUUAACCUGGGAACUGCGCUCGAAACGGGAUGACCAGAGAUCGGGAGAGGAGAGUGGAAUUCCCAGUGUAGAGGUGAAAUUCGUAGAUAUUCGGAGGAACACCAGUGGCGAAGGCGGCUCACUGGCUCGAUACUGACGCUGAGGUGCGAAAGCGUGGGGAGCAAACAGG